GACUGAGUGGCCAAGUUGGUUAAGGCGUACGACUGUUAGAACAUCUAUCUAGUCAUCGUAAGAUCGAGAGUUCGACCCUCUCCUCGGUCG
This 90-nucleotide transfer RNA is filed under the name Yarrowia lipolytica. RNAcentral's name for it is "tRNA-Asn". It matches the Rfam family "tRNA". From Rfam's summary of the family: Transfer RNA (tRNA) molecules are approximately 80 nucleotides in length. The record is from RNAcentral. Lineage: Eukaryota; Fungi; Ascomycota; Dipodascomycetes; Dipodascales. RNAcentral also lists the same sequence under 1 other name.